Non-coding RNA from Sulfurimonas sp., 72 nucleotides. The record is from Rfam. Lineage: Bacteria; Pseudomonadati; Campylobacterota; Epsilonproteobacteria; Campylobacterales; Sulfurimonadaceae.
UGGGGUAUCGCCAAGCGGUAAGGCCGUGGCUUUUGGUGCCACUAUUCGGGGGUUCGAAUCCCUCUACCCCAU